Molecule: long non-coding RNA, 199 nt
Organism: Bradysia coprophila
Lineage: Eukaryota; Metazoa; Arthropoda; Insecta; Diptera; Sciaridae
Source: RefSeq, a predicted model, not a curated record
UUGCUCACCAGGAUAAACAAGCAUUAGCACAUUUGCUUGUAUGAGUAGAUCAGCUGAAAAACAGCUGAAACAAAAUGUGUCACUUAUUUGAAAGUCGCUGACUGUAUUAUUUCAUGAAACAUACUAGACAUCAAGAUCGGAAGUAAAAGAAUUUUUGCUCGUGUUGUCUGCAGCUGGGCUUGAACUAGCAACCUCUGCU